UGAAAUAAGAGGCAGAGUCCAUCUCAGA
Molecule: non-coding RNA, 28 nt
Filed under: Rattus norvegicus (Norway rat)
Lineage: Eukaryota; Metazoa; Chordata; Mammalia; Rodentia; Muridae
Source: RNAcentral